GGAGGCGCUUCGUCACCGGUGUGGCGCCCGGUCUUCAAAACCGCGUGGCAGGCUUUACGGCCUGCGGUAGGUUCGACUCCUAUGCGUCUCCGCCA
This 95-nucleotide transfer RNA is filed under the name Desulfovibrio sp. RNAcentral's name for it is "tRNA-Sec". It matches the Rfam family "Selenocysteine transfer RNA". Lineage: Bacteria; Pseudomonadati; Thermodesulfobacteriota; Desulfovibrionia; Desulfovibrionales; Desulfovibrionaceae. The record is from RNAcentral.